GAUGAACGCUGGCGGCGUGCCUAAUACAUGCAAGUCGAGCGAACAGACGAGGAGCUUGCUCCUCUGACGUUAGCGGCGGACGGGUGAGUAACACGUGGAUAACCUACCUAUAAGACUGGGAUAACUUCGUGAAACCGGAGCUAAUACCGGAUAACAUGUUGAACCGCAUGGUUCAACAGUGAAAUACGGUUUUGCUGUCACUUAUAGAUGGAUCCGCGUCGCAUUAGCUAGUUGGUAAGGUAACGGCUUACCAAGGCAACGAUGCGUAGCCGACCUGAGAGGGUGAUCGGCCACACUGGAACUGAGACACGGUCCAGACUCCUACGGGAGGCAGCAGUAGGGAAUCUUCCGCAAUGGGCGAAAGCCUGACGGAGCAACGCCGCGUGAGUGAAGAAGGUCUUCGGAUCGUAAAACUCUGUUAUUAGGGAAGAAAAAAUGUGUAAGUAACUAUGCACGUCUUGACGGUACCUAAUCAGAAAGCAACGGCUAACUACGUG
RNAcentral lists this ribosomal RNA (497 nucleotides) under uncultured bacterium. RNAcentral describes it as "partial 16S ribosomal RNA". It matches the Rfam family "Bacterial small subunit ribosomal RNA", at positions 28 to 507 of the family's 1533-position model. The record is from RNAcentral.